RNAcentral lists this ribosomal RNA (1346 nucleotides) under uncultured bacterium. Its description in RNAcentral is "bacterial SSU rRNA". It matches the Rfam family "Bacterial small subunit ribosomal RNA", at positions 28 to 1381 of the family's 1533-position model. The record is from RNAcentral.
GACGAACGCUGGCGGCGUGCUUAACACAUGCAAGUCGAACGGAAAGGCCCUGCUUUUGUGGGGUGCUCGAGUGGCGAACGGGUGAGUAACACGUGAGUAACCUGCCCUUGACUUUGGGAUAACUUCAGGAAACUGGGGCUAAUACCGGAUAGGAGCUCCUGCUGCAUGGUGGGGGUUGGAAAGUUUCGGCGGUUGGGGAUGGACUCGCGGCUUAUCAGCUCGUUGGUGGGGUAGUGGCUUACCAAGGCUUUGACGGGUAGCCGGCCUGAGAGGGUGACCGGCCACAUUGGGACUGAGAUACGGCCCAGACUCCUACGGGAGGCAGCAGUGGGGAAUAUUGCACAAUGGGCGGAAGCCUGAUGCAGCAACGCCGCGUGCGGGAUGACGGCCUUCGGGUUGUAAACCGCUUUCGCCUGUGACGAAGCGUGAGUGACGGUAAUGGGUAAAGAAGCACCGGCUAACUACGUGCCAGCAGCCGCGGUGAUACGUAGGGUGCGAGCGUUGUCCGGAUUUAUUGGGCGUAAAGGGCUCGUAGGUGGUUGAUCGCGUCGGAAGUGUAAUCUUGGGGCUUAACCCUGAGCGUGCUUUCGAUACGGGUUGACUUGAGGAAGGUAGGGGAGAAUGGAAUUCCUGGUGGAGCGGUGGAAUGCGCAGAUAUCAGGAGGAACACCAGUGGCGAAGGCGGUUCUCUGGGCCUUUCCUGACGCUGAGGAGCGAAAGCGUGGGGAGCGAACAGGCUUAGAUACCCUGGUAGUCCACGCUGUAAACGGUGGGUACUAGGUGUGGGGUCCAUUCCACGGGUUCCGUGCCGUAGCUAACGCUUUAAGUACCCCGCCUGGGGAGUACGGCCGCAAGGCUAAAACUCAAAGGAAUUGACGGGGCCCCGCACAAGCGGCGGAGCAUGCGGAUUAAUUCGAUGCAACGCGUAGAACCUUACCUGGGUUUGACAUGGAUCGGGAGCGCUCAGAGAUGGGUGUGCCUCUUUUGGGGUCGGUUCACAGGUGGUGCAUGGCUGUCGUCAGCUCGUGUCGUGAGAUGUUGGGUUAAGUCCCGCAACGAGCGCAACCCUUGUUCACUGUUGCCAGCACGUUAUGGUGGGGACUCAGUGGAGACCGCCGGGGUCAACUCGGAGGAGGGUGGGGAUGACGUCAAGUCAUCAUGCCCCUUAUGUCCAGGGCUUCACGCAUGCUACAAUGGCUGGUACAGAGAGUGGCGAGCCUGUGAGGGUGAGCGAAUCUCGGAAAGCCGGUCUCAGUUCGGAUUGGGGUCUGCAACUCGACCUCAUGAAGUCGGAGUCGCUAGUAAUCGCAGAUCAGCAACGCUGCGGUGAAUACGUUCCCGGGGCU